UAAUACGUAGGGUGCGAGCGUUGUCCGGAAUUACUGGGCGUAAAGAGCUCGUAGGCGGUUUGUCGCGUCGUCUGUGAAAUUCUGCAACUCAAUUGCAGGCGUGCAGGCGAUACGGGCAGACUUGAGUACUACAGGGGAGACUGGAAUUCCUGGUGUAGCGGUGAAAUGCGCAGAUAUCAGGAGGAACACCGGUGGCGAAGGCGGGUCUCUGGGUAGUAACUGACGCUGAGGAGCGAAAGCGUGGGUAGCGAACAGG
Molecule: ribosomal RNA, 256 nt
Filed under: uncultured bacterium
Lineage: Bacteria
Description: partial 16S ribosomal RNA
Rfam family: Bacterial small subunit ribosomal RNA
Source: RNAcentral